This 125-nucleotide ribosomal RNA is filed under the name Callithrix jacchus (white-tufted-ear marmoset). Lineage: Eukaryota; Metazoa; Chordata; Mammalia; Primates; Cebidae. The record is from RNAcentral.
GUCUAUGGCCAUACCACCCUGAACAUGACUGAUCUCAUCUGAUUUCGGAAGCUAAGCAGGGUCGAGCCUGGUUAGUACUUGGAUGGGAAAAUUAUAUGAAACGCAAAAUUUCAGUGCCCCAAAAU